GAUAGUUGGUAUAAUCUAAAAAAUUAAUAAGGUGAAAGUUUAAUUUGUAAUAAAUUUAUUAGACAUUAUAUAAUUAAGAUCCUAGCACAUGUAGGAUACUUAAAGGGCUAGACUAAGUUCAUAAAUCUAUUAUAAUAAAAUGAAUGUAGAAGAUGGUGAAUAACUUUAAAUCACAAAUGGGGAAUGAAUGGGGAAAGGAACGUGGAUGCUGUAGGAAAGCUUAAUAAAUUAAGGAAAUUAGAUCGAGGUGCUAAAUAAAAUAAAAUAAAAGUUAAUAAAUUUGGAAGAGAAUAAAGGUCAAAGAUAACUCAUAAUAAUGAAAUAGAGAUUGAAAAAUUAGAAUAAAGAAAUCUGAGAAGCAAUGACCUUAGGAUGGAAUUAAAUUUUGUGUAAAAUAAUGGUUUUACGCCUUAGAUUCAUGUACCCAUCCUUAAAACUCUUUUACGGAUAAGACUUAAAUGAGGUUGGGUACACUAAGGAGAUAUGAAGGAUAAAAGAAAGAUUAAAAUGAAUCAAAAGGCUAAAGAAUUUGGAUAAGACUAGGGGAUGUUAAAUCGUAGAAAAGCCGAUGAUGAUAAUAUGGUCAAUUAAUUUAUCUACUGUGGAAUACUAGAAUAAAUAAUUAGAAACAAAUUGGGAAAGAAGAAAAAUUCAGAUGUAAGAAAUAUACAUAUAUAAAAAAAUAAAAAAAAAAUAUAAUGAUGAUGAUAAAAUAAAUAACUAAAUAAAUAAAGAUAAAAUAAUAAUAUAAAUAUAAAUCACUACUGAAAAUAACUUUUGG
RNAcentral lists this long non-coding RNA (781 nucleotides) under Jatropha curcas. RNAcentral describes it as "long non-coding RNA (JCUR_LNC001320)". The record is from RNAcentral. Lineage: Eukaryota; Viridiplantae; Streptophyta; Magnoliopsida; Malpighiales; Euphorbiaceae.